AAAAAAUGCUCGAAACUCGCAUCUUAUUCGUAAGACGAAACCGAAACUAUCUUCUUGGAUUUCUAUAUGUUCAUCAUCUUUCCGAUUUUUCAGGUUCCUUGGAUGAUCCACUUCACCGCUUUUCAAUGGCAAAAAAUUAAGAGAGAGAGAGAGAGAGUGAGAGGGACAGAGAGAGAGAGAGAG
This is a long non-coding RNA of Telopea speciosissima, 183 nucleotides long. RefSeq lists it as uncharacterized. The transcript has 3 exons. Lineage: Eukaryota; Viridiplantae; Streptophyta; Magnoliopsida; Proteales; Proteaceae. The record is from RefSeq and is a predicted model, not a curated record.